GACAGAGGUCUCGAGCGUUAGGCGGAAUCACUGGGCUUAAAGCGUGUGUAGGUGGAUGCCUAAGUACCUUGUGAAACCCCACGGCUUAACCGUGGAACUGCUUGGUAUACUGGGUGUCUUGAGCCAGCUAGGGGCUACCGGAACAAAUGGUGGAGCGGUGAAAUGCGUAGAUAUCAUUUGGAACGCCAAUGGUGAAAACAGGUAGCUGGGGCUGUGCUGACACUGAGACACGAAAGCCAGGGGAGCGAACGGG
RNAcentral lists this ribosomal RNA (253 nucleotides) under uncultured bacterium. RNAcentral describes it as "partial 16S ribosomal RNA". It matches the Rfam family "Bacterial small subunit ribosomal RNA", at positions 524 to 776 of the family's 1533-position model. The record is from RNAcentral.